Molecule: long non-coding RNA, 2938 nt
Filed under: Capra hircus (goat)
Lineage: Eukaryota; Metazoa; Chordata; Mammalia; Artiodactyla; Bovidae
Description: lncRNA (ENSCHIG00010026202.1)
Source: RNAcentral
AUGAAACUUCUCUUUGGAGCCCAUGAUACCUGCUGGGAAAAAAUACCUUUGUGUUCAGUUUCAAUCAUGACCUUGAACAAAAGGUGGGAAUGGUUACACAUUUCAGUGUGGGUUCACCAGGCUUGGGAACGCAACUGCUGCCCUGGGGAGCCUGAGGUCUCUGGGGCAGAGGAUGCGACUGCGUCUGUUGGACCACUUGUGGACAGUGCACACAGGCCCAAAAAAGAAAGUCAGCCUGCCGGCCAUCUGAAGUGCUGCCCAAGCGGACAGCUUGAAGAAACAAGGAGCUCUCCACGGAACAGUGAGCUGUCAGAUUCUGAAGGGCUGAGCAGACAUCAACAGCCAGCCAGAGAGGCCAUGAUCUUCAAAGGGAGGGCACCACCCCCUCCCUGGUCAAGGGUCAGCUUUAAGCACCUGCCCAGUCCAGAGAGCCAGCAUGCCAAUUCAUCGCGUCAGAGGGGAGCAAGGCCGUUUCUGCUGUUAACUUUGCCUCCCCAUCACCCUUCACCUCUGGGACAGCCAGAGCCACUCACGGCAGAGUGAGUGGGUGGGAGGAUCAGGUACAGGAGGGCUAGGCAGAGAAAACAACCCCCUGUGGAUUUCCUUUCUCCUUUUCCUAUAGAUUUUGGCCAUCCUUUCUGAGGAAUAGCAAGCUGCCAGAGAGGGGAAAUGCUGUAGGCAUAAAUGUGAACAUCUUGACUAUUACAUAGAAUCUAACUUUUGAUUAGUUUGUGUGUAUAUGUGUAUAUCUGUGACUAAAACAGAGACAUUAAAAAUAUAAUCUAAGUCUGACUACAGAAGUAUUGUCUGAAUUUUCAUCCAAAGGAGUUGAAAAGCACUAUACUAGUCCAGAGAGCAGGUUUGAAUAGGCAGUAGGAAGAAUGAUUCAAAUUGCUUUCUGGGGCUUCCCUGGUGGCUCAGUGGUAAAUAAUCUGCCUGCCAAUGCAGGGGGUGCAGGUUCGAUCCCUGAACUGGGAAGAUCCCACAUACUGUGGGGCAACUUAGCCCGCUUGCAGCAACUACUGGAGCUUGUGCAGCUAAAGCCUGUGCUGCACAGCAAGAGAAGCCAGUGCAAUGAGAAACCCAUGAACUGCAACGAAGAGUAGCCCCCGCUCUCCGCAACUAGAAAAAAGCCCAUGCAGGAACAAAGACCCGAUGCAGCCCCAAAACUAAAACAAACGAACAAAAAGUUUUCUGAUUCUUACUGCUGAGCAUUGCUUAUCCAGUGUAUUUUUAAUAUCAGCAUCUUAGCUACAACCAUGAUUCUAUGAGCUGGUUCCUAACUCUACCGGAGAUCUUUGCCUUGGGGCAAUGCUGACGCCCUGUCAGGAGGCCAAGGCUGGGAAGGGCCUCUGAGACGAUCAGUGAGGUGUCAGGGACAAAAAUGUGGGGAGAGGAGGGACAGUCAACCAAGUUCACUAACUCAGACAAUUCAUAUCUACUUUCUAUACAUUUAUCCACUAAAAAAAAACAAGUUUUGGAAACAGUGGAGCUUUCCCCUUAGUAUAACCUGGCCUCUGCCAAACACUCACUUUUACUUUUUAAAGAGCUCAGGUCAGUUAUUCUUCUAAAUACAAGAAAAUAACAAGAUAGUUUUAUGAACCAGNNNNNNNNNNNNNNNNNNNNNNNNNNNNNNNNNNNNNNNNNNNNNNNNNNNNNNNNNNNNNNNNNNNNNNNNNNNNNNNNNNNNNNNNNNNNNNNNNNNAGUUAUUCUUCUAAAUACAAGAAAAUAACAAGAUAGUUUUAUGAACCAGCUUUGUUAUAGCUUUCUUUCAAGAAGUUAAUAUUUAUUAUCUAGAAAGUAAUUCUGUGCUCAUGGACGUGUGCUUUAAAGAGUAUUGCUCCCAUAUAAUCCAACAAUCUCACUCCUGGACACAUAUCUGGAGAAAAACAUGGUUUGAAAGACUACGUGCACCCUGGCGUUCACUGUAUGGCUGUUUACAAUAUCCAGGACCUGGAAGCAACCUAAAUGUCCAUCAGCAGAGGAACAGAUAAAGAUGAUGUGGUACAUAUAUGUGGUGGACUAUUAACAGCUACUAAAAAGAAUGAGAUAAUGCCAUUUGCAGGAAUAUAAAUGGACCUAGAGAUUAUCAUACUGAGUGAAGUAAAUCAGAGAAAGAUAGGUAUCACAUGAUAGUGCUUAUAUGCAGAAUCCAAAAAUGAUACAAAUGAACUUAUUUAUGAAACAGAAACAGACUCGCUGAUUUAGAGAAUAAAUUUAUGAUAACAAGUAGGGGACGGAUAGGGAGGAGGGCUAGAAUGGGAGAUUGGGAUUGGCAUGCACACACUGCUAUAUAUAAAGUAGAUAACCAGCAGGGACCUACUGUAUAGUACAGGGAACUCUACUCAAUACUCUGUAAUACCCUAAAUGGGAAAAGAAUCUGAAAAAGAAUAGAUGCAUGUAUAUGUAUAAUUAAAUCACUGUGUUGUACACCUGAAACUAAACACUGUCAAUCAACUAUACCCCAAUAAAAAUUUUAUUUACUUAUUUUUUUAAUUUUUAAAUUUUUUUAUUUUUUUGGUUUACAAUACUGUAUUGGUUUUGCCAUAUAUUGACAUGAAUCCACCAUAGGUGUACAUGAGUUCCCAACACUGAGCCCCCCUCCCACCUCCCUCCCCAUAUAAAAAUUUAAAAAAGAGUACUGAAGUACAGUGGAAAUCAAUUUGCUGCUUACAUUCUCAUGAAGUUUAGACAGAAUCUACAGGUAUUUCUAGGCCACUGCCAGUACUGGAAUUGUCCUGUCCCGUUCCUCCACAUGGCAGAACUUUUAAAGAGGAAGAAAGAUCUGCGUUUGAGUGCUAAAGGAACGGUUCUAUUCCAAUUUUUGGUAUUUUAUCACUUGGAAGUUAAUCCUUUCCUUCUAUAUAUAUUCUAAUUCCUUGAUCGUUUUUGCAUUGUCAAUUGUAGUCUUUUUAGGAUUACAGAAAAUACUCUAAU